AGUGAACGCUGGCGGUAGGCCUAACACAUGCAAGUCGAACGGCAGCACAGUAAGAGCUUGCUCUUACGGGUGGCGAGUGGCGGACGGGUGAGGAAUACAUCGGAAUCUACUUUUUCGUGGGGGAUAACGUAGGGAAACUUACGCUAAUACCGCAUACGACCUACGGGUGAAAGCAGGGGAUCUUCGGACCUUGCGCGAUUGAAUGAGCCGAUGUCGGAUUAGCUAGUUGGCGGGGUAAAGGCCCACCAAGGCGACGAUCCGUAGCUGGUCUGAGAGGAUGAUCAGCCACACUGGAACUGAGACACGGUCCAGACUCCUACGGGAGGCAGCAGUGGGGAAUAUUGGACAAUGGGCGCAAGCCUGAUCCAGCCAUACCGCGUGGGUGAAGAAGGCCUUCGGGUUGUAAAGCCCUUUUGUUGGGGAAGAAAAGCAGCAGGUUAAUACCCCGCUGUUCUGACGGUACCCAAAGAAUAAGCACCGGCUAACUUCGCG
This 492-nucleotide ribosomal RNA is filed under the name uncultured bacterium. RNAcentral describes it as "partial 16S ribosomal RNA". It matches the Rfam family "Bacterial small subunit ribosomal RNA", at positions 29 to 507 of the family's 1533-position model. The record is from RNAcentral.